AGCUUUGCGCAGUGGCAGUAUCGUAGCCAAUGAGGUUUAUCCGAGGCGCGAUUAUUGCUAAUUGAAAAAAGCAGAACAUUACCCACCCUAAGUACUUUUUAAAAUACAGUAUU
This 113-nucleotide small nuclear RNA is filed under the name Canis lupus dingo (dingo). Its description in RNAcentral is "U4 spliceosomal RNA (ENSCAFG00020008803.1)". It matches the Rfam family "U4 spliceosomal RNA". Rfam says of the family: U4 small nuclear RNA (U4 snRNA) is a component of the major U2-dependent spliceosome. The structure of U4 snRNA from yeast and human has been reported. The record is from RNAcentral. Lineage: Eukaryota; Metazoa; Chordata; Mammalia; Carnivora; Canidae.